RNAcentral lists this microRNA precursor (135 nucleotides) under Triticum aestivum (bread wheat). Its description in RNAcentral is "miR10517 stem-loop (tae-MIR10517)". The record is from miRBase by way of RNAcentral. Lineage: Eukaryota; Viridiplantae; Streptophyta; Magnoliopsida; Poales; Poaceae.
CGGACGCAGAUUCAGUGACAUUCCCCCGUGACAUUCUCGGUGACAUUCAGUCAUUGACAUGUGGGACCCACAUGUGCCUGGACCCACAUGUCAGUGACUCAAUGUCACCGAGAAUGUCACGGGGAAAUGUCACCG